This 236-nucleotide ribosomal RNA is filed under the name uncultured bacterium. RNAcentral describes it as "partial 16S ribosomal RNA". It matches the Rfam family "Bacterial small subunit ribosomal RNA", at positions 100 to 334 of the family's 1533-position model. The record is from RNAcentral.
CGGGACGGGUGAGUAACGCGUGGGUAACCUGCCUCACACAGGGGGAUAGCAGUUGGAAACGGCUGAUAAUACCGCAUAAGCGCACAGUACCGCAUGGUACAGUGUGAAAAACUCCGGUGGUGUGAGAUGGACCCGCGUCUGAUUAGCUUGUUGGCAGGGUAACGGCCUACCAAGGCAACGAUCAGUAGCCGACCUGAGAGGGUGACCGGCCACAUUGGGACUGAGACACGGCCCAA